Molecule: ribosomal RNA, 584 nt
Filed under: uncultured eukaryote
Lineage: Eukaryota
Description: eukaryotic LSU rRNA
Rfam family: 5.8S ribosomal RNA (bases 190-343)
Source: RNAcentral
AAAGUCGUAACAAGGUCUCCGUUGGUGAACCAGCGGAGGGAUCGUUAUCGAGUUAUUCAACUCCCAAACCCUAUGUGAACUUACCACUUGUUGCUUCGGCGCGCGCUUCGGCGCCGCCGAGGACACUUAAACUCUUUGUUUUUAUAAGCAUUUCUGAGUGGCCGAAAGGCAAAAAUACAAAUGAAUCAAAACUUUCAACAACGGAUCUCUUGGUUCUGGCAUCGAUGAAGAACGCAGCGAAAUGCGAUAAGUAAUGUGAAUUGCAGAAUUCAGUGAAUCAUCGAAUCUUUGAACGCACAUUGCGCCCGCCAGCAUUCUGGCGGGCAUGCCUGUUCGAGCGUCAUUUCAACCCUCGAGCCCGACUCUUUUGAGGACGGCUCGGCGUUGGGGGACGGCAGACUCCCCCCGGCAUCUCGCCGGGGACGCCGCCCCCGAAAUCUAGUGGCGGCCCUCCGAGGCGACCUCUGCGUAGUAACUUGUUCUCGCACCGGAAAGCUCAGAGCGGCCACGCCGUAAAACCCCAACUUUUUUCAGGUUGACCUCGAAUCAGGUAGGACUACCCGCUGAACUUAAGCAUAUCAAUA